This 21-nucleotide non-coding RNA is filed under the name Arabidopsis thaliana (thale cress). The record is from RNAcentral. Lineage: Eukaryota; Viridiplantae; Streptophyta; Magnoliopsida; Brassicales; Brassicaceae.
AAAGAGAAUAAUGAAAUGCAU